GAUGAACGCUAGCGACAGGCUUAACACAUGCAAGUCGAGGGGCAGCAAUUUGUAGCAAUACAAAAUUGGCGACCGGCGCACGGGUGAGUAACGCGUAUGCAACCUACCUACAACAGAAGAAUAAUCCGGCGAAAGUCGGUCUAAUAAUUCAUAAAACAGGGACACCGCAUGGUGUUAUUUGUUAAAGAUUUAUCGGUUGUAGAUGGGCAUGCGUACCAUUAGGUAGUUGGUGAGGUAACGGCCCACCAAGCCUACGAUGGUUAGGGGUUCUGAGAGGAAAGUCCCCCACACUGGUACUGAGACACGGACCAGACUCCUACGGGAGGCAGCAGUGAGGAAUAUUGGUCAAUGGGCGAGAGCCUGAACCAGCCAAGUCGCGUGAAGGAUGACGGCCCUAUGGGUUGUAAACUUCUUUUGCAGGGGAAUAAAGAUAUUCAC
This 438-nucleotide ribosomal RNA is filed under the name Tannerella serpentiformis. RNAcentral describes it as "bacterial SSU rRNA". It matches the Rfam family "Bacterial small subunit ribosomal RNA", at positions 28 to 459 of the family's 1533-position model. The record is from RNAcentral. Lineage: Bacteria; Pseudomonadati; Bacteroidota; Bacteroidia; Bacteroidales; Tannerellaceae.